GAGUUUGAUUAUGGCUCAGGAUGAACGCUGGCGGCGUGCCUAACACAUGCAAGUCGAACGGAAACUAAGCGCUUCGGAGACUUCGGUCAAUGUUGCUUGGUUUAGUGGCGGACGGGUGAGUAACGCGUGGAUAACCUGCCUCAUACAGGGGGAUAACAGUUAGAAAUGACUGCUAAUACCGCAUAAGCGCACGGAAUCGCAUGUUUCUGUGUGAAAAGCUCCGACGGUAUGAGAUGGAUCCGCGUCUGAUUAGCUGGUUGGCGGGGUAACAGCCCACCAAGGCGACGAUCAGUAGCCGGCCUGAGAGGGUGAACGGCCACAUUGGGACUGAGACACGGCCCAAACUCCUACGGGAGGCAGCAGUGGGGAUAUUGCACAAUGGGGGAAACCCUGAUGCAAGCGACGCCGCGUGAGUGAAGAAGUAUUUCGGUAUGUAAAGCUCUAUCAGCAGGGAAGAUAAUGACGGUACCUGACUAAGAAGCACCGGCUAAAUACGUGCCAGCCGCCGC
Molecule: ribosomal RNA, 509 nt
Filed under: uncultured bacterium
Lineage: Bacteria
Description: bacterial SSU rRNA
Rfam family: Bacterial small subunit ribosomal RNA
Source: RNAcentral